This 74-nucleotide transfer RNA is filed under the name Sulfurirhabdus autotrophica. It matches the Rfam family "tRNA". Rfam says of the family: Transfer RNA (tRNA) molecules are approximately 80 nucleotides in length. Their secondary structure includes four short double-helical elements and three loops (D, anti-codon, and T loops). Further hydrogen bonds mediate the characteristic L-shaped molecular structure. tRNAs have two regions of fundamental functional importance: the anti-codon, which is responsible for specific mRNA codon recognition, and the 3' end, to which the tRNAs corresponding amino acid is attached (by aminoacyl-tRNA synthetases). tRNAs cope with the degeneracy of the genetic code in two manners: having more than one tRNA (with a specific anti-codon) for a particular amino acid; and 'wobble' base-pairing, i.e. permitting non-standard base-pairing at the 3rd anti-codon position. The record is from Rfam by way of RNAcentral. Lineage: Bacteria; Pseudomonadati; Pseudomonadota; Betaproteobacteria; Nitrosomonadales; Sulfuricellaceae.
GGAGUGGUAGUUCAGUUGGUUAGAAUGCAGCCCUGUCACGGCUGAGGUCGCGGGUUCGAGUCCCGUCCACUCCG